Molecule: long non-coding RNA, 6989 nt
Filed under: Jatropha curcas
Lineage: Eukaryota; Viridiplantae; Streptophyta; Magnoliopsida; Malpighiales; Euphorbiaceae
Description: long non-coding RNA (JCUR_LNC000451)
Source: RNAcentral
CACAAUACAGCAAUGUGGGUUAUCUUCAUGUGGCUCUUGUUCAGCUACAUCAUCUGUAUACUCAAGGCGACCUUGUUGUUCUUCCAAGUUCAGGUUCGUGUAUACUUCCUCAAUAGGUGGAGACAUAUUUAUGUCCAUGGAAGUCUGGUUAUCCAUAAUUUCUUUUGUAGGCUUAAAAAAGAAUGGUAUAUGUAUCCUUAAUUAAGAAUCAAAAAGAGAAUAGAUCAUGCUAAAUUAGCCACUUAUGAAAUUCCCCCACACUUAUCCCAUGCUUGUCCUUAAGCAUGACUAAAACUUCAAUUGACCUCUCAUAGAAGCUCACUUCACCCUAUCACAGCUUUCUUUAGCAAAAGAUUGAAAAAUUGAGAGGAAAGGCAAAUAAGGUAAUAAUCAUUCAUAAUAUAUUCCAUCAAAUCCAUACUAGUAUAUAACAAUCUCAAAACCAUCAUUUUUGGCACAAAACAUAAAGACUUGGAAUAUUUUAGGCAUCCAGAUAGAUUAGGUUCCACAGUAACUUAAGUUGUUGCACCUCAAAACAUAAGGCUAACUUAUUAAGGCAUAAUACUCUAGGAUUUGGAGCAAACAUUCGGAAACUUUGGAGAACUCAUGUGCCUUACCGCUUUUUAGGCAUCCAGAUAGAUUAGGUUCCACAGUAACUUAAGUUGUUGCACCUCAAAACAUAAGGCUAACUUAUUAAGGCAUAAUACUCUAGGAUUUGGAGCAAACAUUCGGAAGGGAAAGAAAGAGCAUUUUUCUUUCUUUUUUUUUUUGGCAAACUUUGGAGAACUCAUGUGCCUUACCGCUUUUUUCAUUCUCUUUUAUUCUGUUUUUCAUUUUUUUUAUUUGUUUGUAAACUUUAGGGAACUCAUGUGCAUUACCGCUUUUUUCAUUCUCUUUUAUUCCUUACUAUAUGCAUUACUGCUUUUCUCGAUCUACAUCUUUCAAUCCCCUAAAACAUGCAACCAUGUAAUCCACAGUAGUGCCUCAAACAGGUUAAACAAAGUUUUGAAAUAUGCACAACAGUGAAUUAAAUACAAACAAAUUGAUGAUUUCACCUAUUAACUCAAGCCUAAACGAUUUAUAAAAAAAAAGAAUGAUUAAGGAAUACCAGUUAUGGUAUGGAGAAAUGGAAGUCUAUCAUUAAGCUUACUGUUAUCUUGCCUAAAAUCUCAAGAAUUCAACCUAAUGCAGAAAAAUCUACUUUAGGACAAAGCACUUCUCUUAAGAGGUCAAAAGAAAGUUAUUAAUCAAGUUAUGACAAGAAAGAAGUUUUGAAAUAAAAUUUUUCAUUUAGCACAACAAACAAUCAAAAUUUCCAGGGGAUAAGCACAAAAAUCAGUCGAAUUUUUAAGAGCACUUGUCAAAAGAAAUAUUUAAAUUGGGUUUUAGAAUAUGGAAAAACUGCUCAAAAAUUCAGUGCUUUACAAAAUAUAAACAAAUUAAACAAAUAAAAGCAAAAUUAAACUCCACCCCCACACUUACUUCCCACAUUGUCCUCAAUGUGGAAUCAUAAAUCAGGCAUAAGGGAGUUUCUAACAACUAAAUAAUUGAGAAAAAAAAUAAAAAGAAAUGAUUAAAGAGUGAAGAAACUUCCCUGUGGAUGAGGUUAUUGCCGUCUCUUUCUAAGCUGGUGGUGGAGGGCGCUUCACAGGUGAGAAGAAAUGAAGACGCUGAUUCCGAUGGUGCUGAUAAGACUCUUGGAUUUUCUAAAUCACAAGAUGUGCCUUUGGAGUAGCUUUGAUGGAGAGAAAGCAAUUGUGGAAGUUGCGCCCGUGGAGGUGUAGAGAAUGACGGCGCUGGUAAAUUAGAUGAGCUAGGAUUUUCUUUUGUUUCUUUUUGCUCUCUCUCUCUCUCUCUCUCUCUCUCUCUCUCACUCUCAUAAAAGUAAAAAUAAAAAGUGAAAAAAAAUUGCAACUAAUGGUAAAGAAAAUAAGAGUGGUAAAUCAGUUAAAAGAAAAACAGAUUAAAAAACAAUUAAAUAACUCUCUUUAAAAAAAUUUACCACCAUAAAAAUAAACAUUAACCAUUAGAGACUUUUCUUUUUAAAUUUUUCACCAUAAAAGGGCUAUUUUGAACCUCUGUAACUCUUCACUUACCCGGUAAAGAAAAGAACAUAUUACAUUAGGAUAAUUAGGAAGAAGAUGAUUAAAAUAAAAUAAAAUAAUCUAAAAACAAAAUAAAGCUACGAAAAUUAGGUUUGGGCAAGCUAAAAAUUGGGUUGCCUCCCAAUAAGCAGUCUUGUUUAAUGUCCCAGGCUAGACAUUCUUAGACUUCUACCAACCCCUUUUAGACCUUUUAAAGUUAUUUCCUUGAUAUCAUGAGUUAAGGGACAAUAAUAUCAACACCACAAACACUAAGCACAUCACAUGGAUCAUACACAUUAAAUUUAAUUAUUUCUCCAUUAAAUUCCAUAGUGAGUGUGCCAUCAUGAGCAUCAAUUUUUGCUCUAGUUGUGCUAAGAAAUGGUCUUCCAAGCAAAAGUUCCGAUGAAGUAGAGGAUUUAUCAUCCUCCAUAUCAAGCACAUAAAAAUCAGCUGGAAAAAUCAACCCAUCUACUUAUACUAAAACAUCCUCUAAUACCCCUUCGGGGUAAAUUAUGAACUUGCCCACCAAUUGAAUUACAAUGGAUGUUUCUUUCAAUGAACCAACAUUUAAAGAAGAGUAAAUAGACAAUGGCAUAACAUUUAUUGAAUAUCCUAAGUCACAUUUAGCUCUUUUUAUUCUAAUAUUGCCUAUUUUACAGGAAAUAGAAAACACACCUUGGUAUUUGCAUUUAGGGGGCAAUUUUCUUUGCAAUAGAGUGAAAACAUUCUCCCCUACAAUUACCUUUUGAUAACCAACCAACUUCUUCUUGUUCAUACAAAGUUCCUUUAAAAAGUUUGCAUAGCGGAGAACUUGCUUGAUUGCAUCGAGCAAUGGUAUAUUCACCUCCACCUUGCGUAAAGUUUUUAGGAUUUCUUUUUCUUCUUUAUCCUUCUUUGAUUUAGCUAAUCUUUUAGGAAAAGGGGGCUGAGUUACCAUUGGACUAGGCAAGUUUACUUCUAAAUCCUCAGUCUGUCCAUUCUUCUGAAUUUCUGUUUCUUUUUAAUCAUCUUUCCUCGAGAUACUAUCACUUUUCUUUAGGGCUGGAAUUCCCAACUCCUUCCCAUUUCUCAAGGAGAUUGCACUUAUAUUUUCCUUGGGAUUAUUGACAGUUUGAGAAGGAAGCUCCCUUGGGACUCCAUUUUGCUUAAAGAGGUAGCUAGUUGGCUUACUUGAUUCUCUAAAUUUUGAAUGCUAGCCUUAUUCUCUUGCUGAAAUUGUUGAGUGUUAGUUGCAAGAGAUUUAACAAUAUCUUCAAGGGACAAACCUAAUUUUUGACCUGUUUGUGACUGUUGAAAUGGUCCAAGUUGAUAUUAAUGGGAGUUUUGUUGUCUUGCUCCAUAGCUAAAGUUUGGAUGAUCUCUCCACCUCGGAUCAUACAUGUUUGCAUAAGGAUCAUACAUCCUUUGGGGCUGUCCUGGAAAUCCUCCAAUUGCAUUUACUUGUUCUUGAUCUCCUUCUUGUAAUGACGGACACAUAUCGGUUGGAUAUCUAGAAAAAGCAAAAAUCCCACACACUUUAGCUUGUAAAGACAUACCUGUAACAAUACUUUGAACCAAAGAAGUUAUCUUAUUAAGUUUACUCUCAAUAGAGGAAUCACUUACCUGAUUAACUUUCCGGGGUAUAUCUUGACGUCUCCCAAACUGUUGCGUGUUUGCAGCCAUGGUGGAUAUCAUUUCUCGAGCUUGUUGAGGGGUUUUGUUAACAAGAGCCCCUCCACUUGCUGCAUCAACCAUUCUCCUUCCUAAAUCCAACAUUCCCUCAUAGAAAUAUUGAAUUAAUGACUGUUCAGUAAUUCCAUGUUGUGGACAGCUUGCACAUAAUCUUUUAAACCUCUCCCAAUAAUCAUGGAGAGUAUCUAUAUCUUUUUGCUUGAUUCUGCUUAUCUCCCUUCAAAUUAUGGUUGCUCUUGAGGCUAGAAAAUAUUUUUCCAAGAAGAAUCAAACCAUAUCAUUCCAUGAUGUAAUUGAACUCGGAAGUAGAAUAACCAAUGUUUGGUGGCAUCUUGCAAAGAGAAUGGAAAUGCUCUCAACUUAAUCUGCUCUUCCGUUACCCCUUGUGGUCUCAUACUUGAACAUACCACAUGAAAUUCCUUCAAAUGUUUAUGUGGAUCUGCAUUCUCCAAUCUGCGAAAGGUAGGAAGUAAGUGAAUCAAUCCUGAUUUCAGUUCAAAUGCCACCUCCAUAUUUGGAUAAGUGAAGCAAAGAGGUUCUUGGUCCAAUGGAGGUGCGUGUAGCUGCCUCACAGUUUGUUCUUCACCCAUCUCUUCUUCUUCCUCAGAUUCGGUUGAAGACUCUGUCAAAUCAGGUGUUGCUUCCUCUAAAAGCGAUUUAGAAGAUGUAGCUUCUUUUUCCUCUAGCUAUUUUGCUUCUUUUCUCAAUGCACGAGCUUUCUUCUUAAUUUCUGGUUUAAAGUUUAGCUUAGUAUUUUUAGACCUAGUCAUCAAAGAAACAAAUCAAAACAAAAUAACCCCCAGCAACAGUGCCAAAAUUUGAUGGGUGUCGAGACGACCAAAAAUAAUUCCUGCUCUUUCUAACCUAGGUAAUUGGUAGAUAUGGUGAGAAGGGUCGAACCCUAGAGACUAAUUCAAACUAAUUCUUAAUUGAGGACCAGUAAAUCAAAGAAUAAAAGUAAAAAGGGGGUGUUGUUUAUCAAAGAAGAUAUAGUAAUCGCAAGGCAUUUAAAAUAACUAGAGUGCAAUAAAAAUAAAAGAUUUAAAUUAAUAGGGAAAGAUUAGUCAAAAGUGAUUCUUACUACGAAAUUCUCUUGAUUGAUCAUUGACACUGAGAUCAUUCAAUAAUUCGAAAGGUCGACAGGUUAUAAUCCUUGAACAAGUGUCGCAAAAAAAUCUUUCCGUAUUAUUAGAUUUUACAAGACAAGCGCUGAGAAUAAUCCCUAACUAGUAAAUAACCCUAAACAAGCCAUAAAAUUUAAUUUGCUAGUAGCAAUAAAAACAAGAAAAACCCUGCCCUAAUUAACAAACUCUACAAGCGAAAUUAAUUUAAAUUAGGCUAUGAGUUUUCAUAAUAUAAUCCAAAAGCCUAGUUACAAUUAAAUUAUACUAUUUACUACUUGAAUCAACUCAAUUAAACAAUUACAGAUUUAAUCUCAUUGAUUAGCUAUAUGCAUUCCUAUUAAGUUGAACAACUGGCCAAAUUGAACAAACAAUAAGAUAAAAAUGGAGAUGGAGUUUCUCAUAUAUGCAGAAAAAUAGAUAAAUACUGAUGAAAUUAAAGAAGAAAAUAAAUAAAUUAAGAUAUCAAAAUCAUUGAAGAACUUCUACUUCGAAUUCAACCUUUGACCGAAAAUAAAAGUUCAGCAACGCAUGGCCAUAGAGAAAACGCAAAAAAUAAAAAUAAAAAAACCUAAAGGAACAUGCAAUUGAAAAGAUAAAAAAGGCCUACUACGCAAUAAACUUAAUGUUGUAUUUAUAGAAGAAGGAAAAAUCCUAAACUAGGAAAAUAAAUCUCAAAUCAGUUACAAAAAUAAAAUAUUUGAUUUUGAGUAUCUUCCUAAUUCCCUAAUUCAUGGUUCAGUUGCUUUAAAUGACUUUCUGGAGUAAGCCCGAAGUAAUCUUAUCCGACAAACAUCUUAAUCCUGCCCAGCCUUGACGCGCCUCCCUUACCCUUGCCCAAGGUUAAUUUGUAAACUUCCAAGAGGUUAUGGAUAUAUUCUAGACGCGACUCCCUUAGCCUUGCACAAGGCUAAAUCUUCAACUUCCAGAGAGUUUCAACAAUUACUUGGACUUCAGCUCCAACCUAGCACAUUUUUCCAAAACUUCAAGAAUUGGCAUCCAAAAGCUUCUUAUCCAAAUAUUUUAGCAUGAACUAAGAAAACUAUGAAAACAAAGUAACCAUUCUCAUAAAAAAGGGAAUAGAUCAUGUUAAAUUAGCCACUUAUCAUUAGUGGUGGUGAUGGUGGUAGAGUGGUGGUUGUGGUGGUGGUUGAGAAUGGAUAUAGGCUUUGAGGAAUGUAAUGGGCUUUACUUAUAAUUUUUUAUAUAAUGAAUAUUAUAUCAAUUCAAGUAGUGAAGAUUACACAUGCAAUUUCAAUUAUAUUACAAGAUUUAAAAAAAAAAAUCUAACCAAAUAAUGUAAUUAGCCAUGUAAUGUAAUUCUCAUGUCAUUACAUUGUUGAUUGCUAAAUUUAAUCCUAUUCUUAUAGUUUUGUCAAGAAAUAAUAGUGUUGUCUUUACUAAAUUUAAUCCUAUCCUAUCCAUCUCAAUGUUUCCUUCUUCAUUCAUACUUUUAUGUAUAACUCUACAUGUUGCUUCCUCGUAGGUAAUUUUUAUAAUUAUUUUGGUUUAGUUUUAUUGGGAAAUUUUGGUAGUUUUUAAUUAAUUUAGGUAGUUUGUAUUUAUGUUUUAUGUUUAAUUUUUAAUUUUUAAUUUUGCUUCCUUGAUUUUCUUGAGUUCAUAGGAUACCCAUUGUGGCCGUGUUAGACUACCUAGUCUGUGUUACGUGCUAGAAUGGACGUGAUUUCUGCAUGAUUUUGCAUGGGGCCACGUAAAUAUGUGGCUUAUUUGAGUUUCGAUUUCCUAUUUAGGAAGAAAUUGGAGGUUGGAUCUUUUUCCUACUAUGAUUAAAAUUCUUCCUCAACAAGUUAAGCUAUUUUCCUAAUUAAUUCUAAAAAGGCCUAGAUGAUUGAAGUCUAUAUAUAAGAAAGCUAUCACAUAUGAGACUGGGUUUUCACACGUCCAUAUUCUCUAUACCAUUCAUAUUUCUCUUAGCUUCAAGACUUCUUGAGAUCAAGAUUCAAGAAGCAGGUCAAGCUUCAAACGAGUUCUUUUCCAAAACUGUUCUUGUAUUUACUUUCAUAAUGUUUUUAGCAGUAUUUGCAAGUUUGUUGGAGUUAACUAAUUUCUCUAUGAUGUUUAACCACAUUUUUUAGUAGGGAUUUGAUGUAAC